GACGAACGCUGGCGGCGUGCCUAAUACAUGCAAGUCGAACGCACUCUCGUUUAGAUUGCAGGAGUUUGCUCCUGAUUGAUAAACAUUUGAGUGAGUGGCGGACGGGUGAGUAACACGUGGGUAACCUGCCCUAAAGUGGGGGAUAACAUUUGGAAACAGAUGCUAAUACCGCAUAAAACCUAACACCGCAUGGUGUAGGGUUGAAAGAUGGUUUCGGCUAUCACUUUAGGAUGGACCCGCGGUGCAUUAGUUAGUUGGUGAGGUAAAGGCUCACCAAGACCGUGAUGCAUAGCCGACCUGAGAGGGUAAUCGGCCACACUGGGACUGAGACACGGCCCAGACUCCUACGGGAGGCAGCAGUAGGGAAUCUUCCACAAUGGACGAAAGUCUGAUGGAGCAACGCCGCGUGAGUGAAGAAGGUUUUCGGAUCGUAAAACUCUGUUGUUGGAGAAGAAUGUAUCUGAUAGUAACUGAUCAGGUAGUGACGGGAUCCAACCAGAAAGCCACGGCUAACUACGU
This 519-nucleotide ribosomal RNA is filed under the name uncultured bacterium. RNAcentral describes it as "partial 16S ribosomal RNA". It matches the Rfam family "Bacterial small subunit ribosomal RNA", at positions 28 to 506 of the family's 1533-position model. The record is from RNAcentral.